GCUGGGUGUGGUGGCGCACGCCUGCAUUCCCAGCUACUUGGGAGGCUGAGGCAGGAGAAUCACUUGAACCCAGGAGGCAGAGGUUGCAGUGAGCUGUGAUAGCACCACUGCACUUCAGCCUGGGUGACAGAGUGAGACUCUGUCUCAA
RNAcentral lists this signal recognition particle RNA (148 nucleotides) under Gorilla gorilla gorilla (western lowland gorilla). RNAcentral's name for it is "Metazoan signal recognition particle RNA". It matches the Rfam family "Metazoan signal recognition particle RNA". Rfam says of the family: The signal recognition particle (SRP) is a universally conserved ribonucleoprotein. It is involved in the co-translational targeting of proteins to membranes. The record is from Rfam by way of RNAcentral. Lineage: Eukaryota; Metazoa; Chordata; Mammalia; Primates; Hominidae.